This 2490-nucleotide long non-coding RNA is filed under the name Equus asinus (donkey). RNAcentral's name for it is "lncRNA (ENSEASG00005024377.1)". The record is from RNAcentral. Lineage: Eukaryota; Metazoa; Chordata; Mammalia; Perissodactyla; Equidae.
CAACACCCACCCCAUCCCUGCCGGAUCCGUAGCGAAGAGCCUGGCCGAAGAGUUCCACCCUUGCCACCACAUUCAAGGCCGCAGGAGCAGCCACUGCUCUCCGCCCACCGCUAGCCACCCCUUCUCCGCUCCUCCUUCCCCAUGCCUCUGCCCCCGUUGGCGGGCCCCCGACGCUCCUCACUUCCAGCCCGCUGGCACCUCCGCCACCUCUCUGGAUGUGGACAUCCACAUCUGCCACCUGCCUCUCAUUUUCGCAAAACCCUCCUGUUGGCGUCCAGCCUGUCUUCCUUCCACCCACUCCACUCUCCAUCCUCUCCUGCGGGGCCCUCCGAAGCCUGUCUGUCUCGGGGAGGUGACGCUCCCGCUGCAGUAGCCUCUCACGUUCAAGCUUCUCCCUUGCGACCUCUCCUCACGGGACGGGACGGGACGCAUGGCUGCCCUUCCCCUAGUCGGCCCAUCAGAGCGCCCAGCCUCUCCUCUCAGAGCUCCCUAACGCCUGACAUUGAGUUGUAUUCAGUCAUCCCUUCUCCUUGGGGCUGUGCUCCCUCCCGUGUAGGGCCCUCACUGCUCACGCUCUUUCCAUCCCCUCAGCGGGCCGCGUUCACUCCAGAAGCCAUCUGCUGUCUCUCGUCUCGUCCUUCCGCUGGCUCCCGCCACCGCCUUCCCUGGAGGCUCCCUCUUCCCUAGCCUUGGCCCGUCUCACCUUCCUGCCUCUUCCGUCUUCCCUUUCAUCAAGCCACUGUCUACUGGCCUCUACGCGGUCCCGCCGCUCAGUCCUCCGCUUCCUUCCUUUGCCCCCACGCCUUCCUUCUCUCCUUCUUCGGGACCCAUGCUGCGCCCCUGCCCAUCGCCCUUGCUCUCCUGCUCCCAGUGGGCCAGGUCGGGAUCCACCCCGCUCUGCCCUCUUGCCCUCUUGGGCACGGUCCCCUCACAACACCCACAUGCAGACUUUGAGAUGCUCCUCUCGGUCUCCAGCCCUUUCUGCCUUGCCCUCUCUCUGUUGUCCCUUGGCUGCAGCCGGCAGGGCAAGAGCCCCCACCUCCCAGCCCCCACUGUCCCACCCCUCGCUCUCUCCCUCCGCGCCCCUUGGCUGACAACGUCAUCUUCUGCGACACGACCUGUGACCCCACGCUGGUUUGAAGGUCCCCGUCUAUCCGUGCUUGCCUCUGCGGGCUCCUCCCGCCCCGUGCUAGACUACCUCCAUUCCUCUGCGGGUCCCCUGAAAUAGCAGAAGCAGGCAUUUGGCGAUCUUUGCGAACUCUCACCUCCGCCUUGCUUCCUACCUGCUCCUCUGCCAUUUCUAAGCGUGCCUGCCAUCCACACGCUGGACUCCAUGCUCGUGAGUCCAUCCCGAAGGCCCUGACGUGCUUCCUGAGCGGGGUGCCUCAUAACUGCCAGCCUGCCCCGUUUCCUCUGUGUCACUACAGCCACCGUAUCCCCUUUCCGCACCUGUUCCCCAGGGGUCCGGCUCUUCACACCCCCCGGGCCGUGAGUCCUGCCUCCGCGCUCCCGCCCUGCUCCUGCCACGUGGCCUCCAUUCCUCCCCUGCCAAGCCCCUUGCCCAGACAUCGGCCCAUGUCCCAACACCGCACGCUCUUCAGGCUGGCUUCCCCUUUUCCCACCCGGAGUCCCCCGCACCUUCACGAGGUUCCCUCCCCUCUUCAGUCCCGCCUGCCCCUGUCUCUUCCCAUCGGCUAUCCUGACCCCACCCACAGCCCGCAGACCACCUGCUCACGGCUGCCCGAGACUCCACUAUCGCCCUCUGCGCACGUCCCUGCUGUGCGGAUUUCAACCCUUCUUGGCCCAUCCUCCUCUUUUUCUCCCACUGUCGUCUCUGAGAGACCCUCGCGUCAUCUUCAGCCACCGUCCUACUCGCCCUCGUAGCUGUCGGGCCCGUGAGGCAGCCACCGUCUUCCCCCAGCAACUUGUGCCCUGGAUGCCCUGCCCUCAUGCUCCCCGCCUUGCCCUCUUCAUCGCCAACGUGCUGUGCCGAAUCCAUCUGCUCUCCCAGUUCGCUCCCAAGGCCCCUACCGUUUUAGCUGCCACCAUUUUUGAGACGGUCACUCCUCCUCUGGGCGUCUCUCUGACCUUUCCCGUCUCCCCGUGCCCCACACUGACAGGGCUGUCUCCAGCACCUUCCAGGCCACUACCACCACCGCCUCAUCCUCCUCCGUUCUCCUCCCUCCCGCCUCUCCUGCGUUCCUUGAUUCCUCGCCCACGCUGUGCUCUGCUCCCGGGUGCGCUUCCUCAGGGCCCUGGUCCACUCACGGGAACACACUUCCUUGAUUCUCCACGUCCAGCCCUUCCUUCGGGCCCUCCGCCGGCCCUCGUGGCCCGGCACGUCCCUGGUCCUCUGUGCAAGCCUCUCCUGUCCCCAGCGGUCAGGCGCCACGGCCUGCCCCUCUCCCGCUUCCGGCCGGCUGGACCGCCUCUCCUCGACCCUACUCUCCCGCGUCUUGCACGCUGCUCCCCUCACCUCCUCCUGCCUCC